RNAcentral lists this ribosomal RNA (253 nucleotides) under uncultured bacterium. RNAcentral's name for it is "partial 16S ribosomal RNA". It matches the Rfam family "Bacterial small subunit ribosomal RNA", at positions 524 to 776 of the family's 1533-position model. The record is from RNAcentral.
UACGAAGGGGGCUAGCGUUGCUCGGAAUCACUGGGCGUAAAGCGCACGUAGGCGGCCUAGCAAGUUGGGGGUGAAAUCCCAGGGCUCAACCCUGGAACUGCCUUCAAAACUGCUAAGCUUGAGGAUGUGAGAGGUUGGCGGAAUUCCGAGUGUAGAGGUGAAAUUCGUAGAUAUUCGGAAGAACACCAGUGGCGAAGGCGGCCAACUGGCACAUUUCUGACGCUGAGGUGCGAAAGCGUGGGGAGCAAACAGG